Molecule: RNA transcript, 3087 nt
Organism: Bombus impatiens (common eastern bumble bee)
Lineage: Eukaryota; Metazoa; Arthropoda; Insecta; Hymenoptera; Apidae
Gene name: centromere protein I
Exons: 15
Source: RefSeq, a predicted model, not a curated record
GAACAACCAGAACACUGAGAACAUGAUCUGAAUAAUAAACCGGAAUAAUGAGCGUGAACACUGAGCACUCUCGCUUCCUCUCUGAUACAAGCCAUAAGCUCUAUGACUUAUGACAAUAUAUAGUGUUUGUUUAGAAUUUUAAGCGGUUAGAAUGAAUUUUUCAUUAUCAAUAGCAUUAUAUUCUUUACCUUGAAUAUUACUUAUAGGGAUAACCAUUGUUUGAUACAAAAAUAGGUUAGGAACAUACGGAAAGGAAAUAUUUUAAGUUGUUAUGAUAUUUAGGUUAUGAUGUACAACAAUAUCGUUAAAAAUGCCGGUAAUGAUCUAGUUAAAAAGUGAGCUUUUAAACACGAUUGAACGUUUACAAAUGUUUAUUUCUUUUUGUUACAAAUAAUUUGUUGUUAUACAAUAUAAAAAAAUGACAGAUGAAGAAAGGGAUACCUUUUUAAAGUUUUUACGAGAUUUGAAAGUAAAAAAGAAAGAUUAUUCUACAUUUGAAGAAUCACUCAGUAUAUUACAAAAUUAUGCCGCGACUAAAGGGUUGAUAGAUGAAGAUAUCGAUUUGUUAACAGAUAUUAUUAUAAAUACAGAAUUAGGUGCUACUAAAUUAGUAUCCUUAGCAAAGUGUUUAGUUCCAAGACACGAGAUACCUGAACGCGCAGUCAAGUCCCUUAUUUCUUGGUGCCUAGCAUCUAUAAAUGAACUGCCUAUUACUCUAUCCACUAUUAUUAUACAAUGGACAGUUGGCAUAUUGGACUAUCAACUAAUAGAUAAGAAAGUUAUAAAUAUAUAUUAUGGCGUCUUCUUUUAUAUGAUGUUGAAAAAGGAAAGACUGGAAAGACAUAUAGCACGUAUCAUUUAUGUAUUAACAAAACCAGAAGAUGUAACUCGCAGAGAUGUAUCUAGAUUACUAAAUCUUCAUCAGAAAUAUUCGAAACCUCGUAAACAUAUUAUUGUCUUAUUGUCAUUAUUCAAAUCUUACAAACCGGAAUUAGUUCCUGAAAAAAUUCAAUCUAUAAACACAGAAAGUGUAUGGAAACCAAUACCUGAAAUUUUGCGAUUAAUGCUUCAAGAUGCGAAAAGUCGUUUAGAGAGUCAACAAACACAGGACUUACAUUCAGAGUGUUUUAACUGGAAUGUAUUUGAGUUUAUGAGAACAAAGAAGACUGUAGCACCUUUGUUACCACCUGUAGGAUAUUUUCAAAUUGGCUCCAAUAUUUUCAAAGAAAAGGAUACAAAAUCUAUCUUUGAGAUUUCUAGUACAGAAGAAUUGGGAAAAUUGCACUUAAGUGUAGAAUUACCGUGUAAUGCCAUAUCACUUUUGUCUAAUAUUGCUGGGUAUCACCUUCUUACAUUUGCUGAUUUCCACUAUCAGAGUAGAUUCUCUUAUAAUCUCUACAAUACUUUAGUAAGAGCAUUUAUUUUGGAAAAUGAAAAAUUUUCUACAGAAGAAAUUAACAAAUUACUUGAUAUAACUAUAGAAUUUUCACAAUAUAUGCAACAAGAUAUACUUGUCGUUAAUCGUUUCCUUGAUGAGUAUCUGUAUUUUAAUACGGGAGAAUAUCAAUCAAAGUUACUAGUUUUAUUGCAAUGGAUGACGUCGGUGUCUAUUAGCGAUUUACAGGAAAAGAUAUUAGUUCAUGUACAAAAUAUGUUUUACGAAUCAGCCUUAAGUAUGAAGUGUGAAAUUAUCAGAACAUUGAAAAUGUUGAUCACAAAUUUGUUUGUUAGUCAAGCAUUUGAAGAAUGCAGUCAUAAAACACCUGCACCAUUUCUAGGGCAAGGUGCAGUGGAUAAUUUAGAAGAGGCUAUUCCUAUUCUCGCAAAAACCAUAAAAACCCUUAUCGUGUCUGGUUUAAACAUACAUUCGUACGAUAUUUUAUUACUCUCAGAAGCAUUAUCAUUUUAUGAGGAGAUUUGUAUAUUGGAAAAUCGAAGUACCAUAAUGUCGUUUACAUUAGCACCUCCUGCAGUAAUUUAUGGAGGUUUUAUUACGAAGCAUUGUGCGAUUUUGUCAAAAGUAUGCAAACUGCUAUUGAGGUAUCGUAAUAGGUGUUUACAAUUAAAAAAUCGUAAGAUACAAAAGUUAUAUAAGAAAAAGUUUAAUACUAUAUCUAUCUAUGCUCAAGACAUUGUUGAAGCAUUAUGGUAUGACGAGAAAUGUUCCAACGAGAGCGAUGGAAGAUUUAAAACAUUGCAAUCUAAAUAGCCUUUUAAAUAUUAGUAACCAUUAUGCCAUCUUACCUUACAAAUGUAUAUUGAACAAAACAGGACUGAGUAUUAACACAAGAGAGGCUGCUAUGAGCGUAGCAUUGUAUUAUUAUCCAACCAUAAGUGAAUUUCUUGAUAUAUUUCAAAAUUAACUGUAAUAAUAAAUUUAGAUAUUAAAAGGUAUAUACAUUAUUUCCGAAGAAAUUUAAGAUACUCUUGAGAUGUAAUGUAAAUGUUUUUAAUUGUACGUUUUAUACAUUAAAACAAUAAUUCAUAAAGUUUGUAAUAAUAAGUACGUGUGAAAUAAGUUGAUUUAAAUUAAUCAUUGCCUUUUAUUUCUUUGAUUUUUACAUAAAAAUUUUCAUGUACAGUUCAUUCAACAGUCUUUAAUACAUAUCUACCUAAUGAAAAGUUACAUAUAAAUUAUCAUGGAUGCCUUGGGCUCAUACUUUAGAAACUAUAUCAUUUUUUUUUUUACAUAUCUUUUAAUUUAUCUUACUUAUUUUAUGCAUUAAUAUUUAGUGUACACAUUGCAGUUGAUCGAAAAUUACUGAUGUUUACAUGAAAAUAGUAGCUUGACAAUGCAUUAUGCAGAAAAUCUCUUUGAAAGUGAGCGUGAACAUCUCUUAAAUUUAAAAUCUAUAUAAUGCUCUAUUAAAAGUAUUCUAAAUACAUAUUCUAGAAGAGGCCAUGCUAUCGAUGCAACAUUAUUCUAAAUACUAAAUAUACUUUAUAACUACCAUACUUUAAAACAAUACAUGUACGUAUUACUAAUACUAUUGAUAGUGCGUUAAAGAAUUGAUAGGGUACCAUUUUGAUACAUGUUAUUCAUCAAUAUUUCGAGUAAGUUUCAAGAACAGAACAAAAAAAUUUAUA